Molecule: long non-coding RNA, 1595 nt
Organism: Silurus meridionalis
Lineage: Eukaryota; Metazoa; Chordata; Actinopteri; Siluriformes; Siluridae
Exons: 3
Source: RefSeq, a predicted model, not a curated record
AAACGAGGAAAAGGUUUGUCACGUGUCAUUGUUAAAUAGCGGCGAUGUGGGCGUGGCUAAAUGGCGUUGAUGUGAAGCGGAAUCCAGAGAGCCUACAGAUAUGGAAACUGCUCUGAGGCAGAUUCUCCAGCAGAACCAGAAGAAGAGGAGAUGCAGAGAAGAGAUAACAUCAAGAAACUGGUCAUGAUUGAGAUCAAACUGCCAGAUGAAGGACAGCAGACUGAAGGACACAAAGAACCAUCAGAAAUGGAUGAACAAUUUCACUGACAAUGAAGCUAUAAGAACAGAUAAACAACCCUAUAAUAUAUUACAGUGUUUUAUAUGUUGAUAUAAAUAACUAAUAGAAGAAAAGUAGAUUCUUAAUCACACACCGCUUGGCGUUUACCUCAAUAUAGUUGACACUUUUCUAAAUGUAUUACAAAAACUAAUAAUUGAUUGUAGAUGUAGAAGAUGCCCCUCCACCUCAAUUUCUUGCCUCCUGCUUUCUGGAAAAUGUUUUCUUUUUCUUGAAUGCAUAUAUUUCCGUCCGUCCCUCCCUCCCCUCGGAUUUGCCCGCUUUGUCCCGGCCUGCCUCUGGGUGUUGUUCUCUUCCACUGGAGGUCACUCUGUGGAGCUGGGGAUGGUUUCAUAACAACAGCCUGAAGAUUCAUGAAAUGACGGAGUAACACAGAGCUUUGAGGACGGAUUUGGACUGUAGUUAAUGUUAGCAGUCUGCUACGCUGAUUCAGGAUAUGGAUGGAUGGAUGGAUGGAUGGAUGGAAGGAACUUGCGUUUAGAAGAAUGUACUGUAAUUACUAGUUCAACAGUAAAAGUCUUGGGAGAACUACCCCCAUUCAUCAAUCAGCCCUCUCACAUACAGAAUCACGAUAGAUAUUUAACCAGUUGGUAAAUAUUUCCUGCAACUGUUUUCUGCUUAUUUCAAUGAGUUGGGUUUGCUAUUUAACCUGUUCGCCUUCGGCACAGAUUUUGGGACUCACAGCUAAAAUGCCCAAACUAACUUCAAAUGUUAACAGUUCCUGAUAAAAAUGUGCUACACACACAAUUUAAAUAUCUCUGGAAAAAGACACUUUGAGCUUUACUGUCAAAGUUGAUAUUCAUCUCCCCUCAUCAGUUAUGAAAUUCAUGUAAAUGCAUUCUUAAUGUGUUAAAGUCACGAGAGAUGCAAAUGUUAUUCUUUAAAGGGUGAAUAAGUUGUUUUUGGAUGUUUAAUAGUAUGAAGUGAGUUCAGUAUGUGCACCACGUGUGCUAAUCACACAUUCCAUGCUAAUGAUAAAGACAACAAGGUCUCAUAGUGACUACGAUGCAGUGUAUCUGGGCGAAAUACAAAUAUAACACAUAUUUGUGAUAAAUGUAAUCGUGUAAAUGGUUUAUCAGUUAAAAAUAGGUGUUCUAAAAGCUGGAGUUGAUUAAAGGAAGUUUCAUAUACAUUCCUGUAUUAAAAAAAUGCUGACAGCAUCCCAAAGAGCUAAUAAGUUAAAAUAUGCACAUAAAAUCUAUUGUAACAGUUAAGUCGUGUUUAGAUUAUGUGAGUAUAUACAGUGAGGAAAAUAAGUAUUUGAACACCCUGCUAUUUUGCAAGUUCUCCCACUUAGAAA